CUUGGUUCAUCCCAUCUGACUGUAUAGAUUCAUGGAUGUUAAGAAGUGUAGUAGGUUGCUAACCACUUUUCCUUGGAUUGUAAGGCUUCAUUCUUCUCCCUCAGACCGAUGUACUCCAUUGAACCCCAGUACACCAGAUUUCUCAAAGGAAGGAUUGAUGAAAAUACUACCUGCACUCCAGAGUCGCUUGCUGCUGCUCCCAGGAAUGAGUUUUGCACCAAACCAAAAAACUCCCAAACUUUUCAUGUCUUAGAUAAUGGGUAUAUGUUGUCCGGAGUAAAGACAUUUUGUUGGACUUCAUACAGCAGUAACAGAAUGAAGACUAAUGGAUUGAGAUAUAUGGUAAGUCAAGUUAGAUGCAACAUCUUUCUGACCUUGAACGGUAAUGAUGAGAAAGAAGAAAGACAUUGCUUAAUGUCUA
Gallus gallus (chicken) is the source of this 421-nucleotide long non-coding RNA. NCBI's taxonomy places the organism in Eukaryota, Metazoa, Chordata, Aves, Galliformes, Phasianidae. The record is from Ensembl.